Cuculus canorus (common cuckoo) is the source of this 302-nucleotide long non-coding RNA. RefSeq lists it as uncharacterized. The transcript has 3 exons. Lineage: Eukaryota; Metazoa; Chordata; Aves; Cuculiformes; Cuculidae. The record is from RefSeq and is a predicted model, not a curated record.
AGCUGCCAAGAAAAGUGACGGGAUGAGAAGCACUGGUGAUGGAUGCCUGCAAAGCAGUGGGACUGGUGAGGGAGGAGAUUCCAGCCCUCUGCUCCACUCUGAGGGAGCGGUGGCUGUGGCAGAUAUGUUCUGUGCGUCCAUAGCAGUGGGAUCGGCGAGGGAGGAGAUUCCGGCCCUCUGCUCUGUUCUGCAGAGAGAAGUUGACAGAAGUACCCAUCAAGAGUCACUGCAGGACCCUCACCUGCAGGACAGUGAGAGGGAAAAGCAAUGUGUCGGUGCCCUCCAUGCCAACAGUAUUCAGG